AAAGUCAUGCCGAAGAUCAUCCAAGUAGUUUGAAGUCAGGUGUAUGCUGCGACCGGUUAUGCAAUUAUGCUCUGACCUCCAGCUGAUGGACGUUUGCAGCAAAGAACUACAAAAAUACACAAAAAGUUGUUUGAAUAUCUCCAGGAAGUAUUAUCAGAUGAAUCCUUUUCUGACAUGACAUUAAUGACACAAGCUGUUAGCGGUGAGGCUCAGCACCUGUCAAUCAAGUUCGGACAGCGUUGUCUUCUUUCCACUCAUGUUUGUUCUAUAAACAGCUGGAAUUCCAGAGAGCGAACCAAGGUGGUGCUUUCCAGGUUAUCCGAGUCUCUUCGUGUUUCCUGUAGAGUGCGUAACCCCGGCUCUGGGUCUGAUGAGUGCUCCUCUGCAUCAUAAUGGCUGCGUAAUGGCAGAGGAGUCCAUUCUACAGGACCAAGAGCACCCAAGGGUACAACCAGUGUUCCUCCAUGAUGUGCCCAUUUUCCAUGAUGAUAAUGUCCAUACAUACUGUACUCUUUACUACACAGCAGAAAGGCUAAAAUGUACGAUAGCUAUACACAUAUUUUCAAGUGUGA
Acanthopagrus latus (yellowfin seabream) is the source of this 572-nucleotide long non-coding RNA. RefSeq lists it as uncharacterized. Lineage: Eukaryota; Metazoa; Chordata; Actinopteri; Spariformes; Sparidae. The record is from RefSeq and is a predicted model, not a curated record. The transcript is spliced from 3 exons.